This 2378-nucleotide long non-coding RNA is filed under the name Homo sapiens (human). RNAcentral describes it as "HSALNT0294762". Lineage: Eukaryota; Metazoa; Chordata; Mammalia; Primates; Hominidae. The record is from RNAcentral.
CGCGCAUCGCGCAAGCGCCGCCCGCGCACUGCCCGCUGGGCAUUGGAGUCUCUCCUCCGCCCUCCACUUGUCGGCCGUUCUUCGUCCAGAGAUGAACAUGCCGGAAGCGGCCGUUCCCAGCUUUUCUCCGCAGGCCUCUCCAACCGAGCUUCUAUUGUAAAGCACCCUAUGCCGCGCAAAGCGUCAUGGGAGCUGUAGUUCCGCCGCGCCCCCGCCGCGUCCCCGGCUCUGAGUGGAGGAGUGGAAAGGGAGCGUGCGCGAAGUCACGCUUCUGGCUGCGACGCAACCGCCGCUGGGCGGUGAGUUGCCGCCAACCGCCCUAACGGCCGAAACAAUGUUAAUGGCUUUCAGAGUCUGGCGGCGCGUUCCCAUUAUCAUCUUCCUGUGACCCUUCCUCAUUUUACACGGAGGAGGUGGUCUCCACAGUGAUUUUAAAUUUAAUAUUUCUCUCAUAACCUUUGUGAGAUAAAAGAAUCUUCAUCCUUUUAACUUUGACGAGGGAUGAAAUGAAGUUUUCCACAACAUUUGGGAAGAUUUACAAGGUAUACUCCAUUUAGGCAAAAAUAACUGUCAGGGAAUAGUCAUUGUCAAGAGCAGUUUGUAUUGCAACCCACAAAUUAUACCUCUAUGUCGGUCCAGAAAUCCUUCAAUUUACCAAGAGAUUAUGUUUGAAAAUCUUAGAAAAAAUAAACAAUCCUGAAAAACUAAGUAGUAGGACCAGCUUUACAGACCAGUGGGAGAUCCAGGCUACAGGGAGAACACAUGGAAUUCCAGAAUCAUGAACCAUCUGGAAGGGGCUGAGGACACAUAUGAAGUACAGUCUAAAGCUUCAGGAUCAAUUUUGGGAGCCAGAUGUUCUUCAUUUAACGGCAAAAGACCAGAGGAUCAAGGUAACUGAAAAAUACAGCACAGCCCAGAUCCAGAGAAUGAACUGGGAGCUCUUACUUAGAAAUAAGACUCAAUCUCUGAAAGUUCCACUAUACCUUCAAAGCUGUGCCAACCUAAAUCUACCUGAAGUUUCUGUUUCUUUAUUUGAUAUUCUAGGCAGAGUUAGAGCUAGAGAAAGAAAACUGUUUUCUGAGUUAGGUGGAUCAAACCAAUCUUUGGUUAACCAUUUAAGUCACUCAUUUCUUUGCACUUGGCUGUUUUAUUUCCCCUGUUUCCUACCAUAAUUUCCAUUUGAAAUGUUUAAAUUCUCUUUUGACUCUUUUUAGGAGAAAAGGUAUGUUUUCCAACUAUACUUCAGCCAUCAUGAGUUGGUGUCAGAGAUCAGCUAUAAUGGCAGUGAUAGCAAACUAGCUCAAGAACCUGGAGCUUUUGGGUAGGGAGAUAGAAUGAAAACCCAAAAGGAAACCUUCUUUCUUAGACUAUACCUACAUCAGAUUUUCUCAGUGCUUUUUGUCUCUCCCUAUAGUACCAGUUUAAUGUCAAAUAACUGCUCUUUCACUGAUUAACCAAAUGUAUCAAAAAUUUUUUUAAGAUUGUCACCAUGGUUCUUUUUUUUUUUUUGAGACGGAGUCUCGCUCUGUUGCCCAGACUGGAGUGCAGUGGCGCAAUCUUGGCUCACCGCAACCUCCGCAUCCCGAGUUCAAGCAAUCCUCCUGCCCCAGCCUUCCGAGUAGCUGGGACUACAGGUGCAUGCCACCACACCCGGCUAAUUUUUGUAUUUUUAGUAGAGACGGGGUUACACUAUGUUAGCCAGGCUGGUCUCAAACUGCUGACCUUGUGAUCCACCUGCCUCGGCCUCCCAAAUAGCUGGGACUACAGGCGCCCGCCACUACGCCCGGCUAAUUUUUUGUAUUUUUAGUAGAGACGGGGUUUCACCGUUUUAGCCGGGAUGGCCUCGAUCUCCUGACCUCGUGAUCCGCCCGCCUCGGCCUCCCAAAGUGCUGGGAUUACAGGCGUGAGCCACCGCGCCCGGCCUGGAGUCUCUAAUUUAUCUCUUCAAGGAACCUACCCAAAUUUCUUCUUUACUCCACAUUUCUUCAGCAUGUAUGUUUUUAAUCUGCUUCAGGCAUUUUAUUCUUCUUGAUAAUUUUCAUGUUUCUCAAAGGUGUUCUGUUCCAACAGAUUAACUAUACUAUUUUCAAGGGCAAAUAGUUAUCCUUUAUGACAUUUCUGUUUUCCUAACACCUAACAGAAAUGUGCUCUUCCAUGGAAUAGAUAUUUAAUACAUUAUUUAUUUGUAACAUUUUUAGUUAUUUUUUAAAAAAUAGAUGAUUUAUUUACAAGUCAGGAAAUCCUAGUAAAAAUGCUCCCAUCCUUGUCUUCAAUCUACUACUCAGUUUCUAAUGCUCCUCCUGUAGAUAACCACUGUUAGUUUUUUAUCCUCUGUUGUUAGUAUCCUUCCAGUGUUACUUAUGAAUAUAUAAGUAAAU